RNAcentral lists this ribosomal RNA (870 nucleotides) under uncultured Sulfurimonas sp. Its description in RNAcentral is "bacterial SSU rRNA". It matches the Rfam family "Bacterial small subunit ribosomal RNA", at positions 51 to 928 of the family's 1533-position model. The record is from RNAcentral. Lineage: Bacteria; Pseudomonadati; Campylobacterota; Epsilonproteobacteria; Campylobacterales; Sulfurimonadaceae.
ACACAUGCAAGUCGCACGAGAACGCUUCAGCUUGCUGUAGCUAGUAAAGUGGCGAACGGGUGCGUAACGCGUGGGUAAUCUACCUCUGAAUUGGGGAUAACAUUGCGAAAGCGAUGCUAAUACCGGAUAAUAUCUAAAAAUCCCCGGGUUUUUAGAUCAAAGGUGGCCUCUACAUGUAAGCUAUUGUUUGGAGAUGAGCCCGCGUACCAUUAGCUUGUUGGUAGGGUAAUGGCCUACCAAGGCAACGAUGGUUAGCUGGUCUGAGAGGAUGAUCAGCCACACUGGAACUGACACACGGUCCAGACUCCUACGGGAGGCAGCAGUGAGGAAUAUUGCACAAUGGGGGAAACCCUGAUGCAGCAACGCCGCGUGGAGGAUGACGCAUUUCGGUGUGUAAACUCCUUUUAUGAGUCAAGAAAAUGACGGUAGCUCAUGAAUAAGCACCGGCUAACUCCGUGCCAGCAGCCGCGGUAAUACGGAGGGUGCAAGCGUUAUUCGGAAUCACUGGGCGUAAAGGACGCGUAGGCGGGUUGUCAAGUCUGAUGUGAAAUCCUAUGGCUCAACCAUAGAACUGCAUUGGAAACUGGCAACCUAGAGUAUGGGAGGGGGAGAUGGAAUUAGGUGGGUGUAAGGGGUUAAAUUCCGUAGAUAUCACUAGGAAUACCGAAAGCGAAGGCGAUCCCCUGCAACAUUACUGACGCUGAGGCGUGAAAGCGUGGGGAGCAACGGGAUUAGAUACCCCGGUAGUCCACGCCCUAACGAUGACACUAGUCGUCGGAUGCUAGUCAUCUCGUGAUGCACUUACAGAUUAGUGUCGCUGGGGAGUACGGUCGCAGGAUGACACAUGCAAACACAUGCAAACACAUGCAA